CCCUCCUGUCCCACCUGUCACAGUCCCGCUGCCACCUCCACGGACUGACCCCGGAGAACAUUCGUUAUGCAAACACUCUGCCAUCUGCCAUGCUGCGGAGGCUUCCAGACUAGAACAGAAACAGGUGUGGUGUCAAAGUAACUUAGUGAGGAAACAAGUUGAAGGGGGAACUCAGAAAUAGCCUGUCGAGUUGUGAGCUUUUUCCUCACCCCGGGCCCUCGGGAGCCUGGCCCGGCAGCGCCAUGUCUCACCAGUGGCCGGCUCUUUGUAAGGCUGGUGAGCAUGUUCAUGUCCACGUUCUUCCGAGGAAGGCUGGAGACUUCCACAGGAAUGACAGCAUCUAUGAUGAGCUCCAGAGACAUGACAAAGCGGAGGAGGACACCCCAGCCUUGUGGAGGUCCGAGGAGGAAAUGGCAGCAGAAGCCGCAACCCUACGGGCCUACUUUCAGUGACUGUGCAGUCACUUCCAGGCACGAAAGUAACUUGAACAAAUCCCAAGGCAUAAGGAAAUGGGCCUCGUUCUCUAGGACUCCGCGGCAUUGGAAAUGAAGCUAAGCAGACUUUAUUACAUCCUACAAUUCUGCAACCUUUUGCGAAGCAUUUUAUUACACUUGUGGAAGCCAUCGGGGUUAUGUUUCAAUCAUGAUGACUGACAGGCUAACUUCAAAAUAACAGCAUCGACAGCCCUUCCACACUUCCUGGGCUAUGUACUUAGAAUAGAACCUUGUCUAAAUUGUCCCUUGGCCUGGAUGAAAAUAAAAUGGUAGUUAAAAUAUUUAUCUUGUGUGUU
Molecule: long non-coding RNA, 790 nt
Filed under: Ursus maritimus (polar bear)
Lineage: Eukaryota; Metazoa; Chordata; Mammalia; Carnivora; Ursidae
Description: lncRNA (ENSUMAG00000023346.1)
Source: RNAcentral